AACGAACGUUAGCGGCGCGCCUAACACAUGCAAGUCGCGCGAGAAAGGGCUUCGGCCCCAGUAAAGCGGCGCACGGGUGAGUAACACGUAGGUCAUCUUCCCCUGAGUGGUGGAUAACUCUCCGAAAGGAGAGCUAAUACAGCAUAAGACCACGACCUCGCCGAGGUUGUGGCCAAAGCAGACCUCUUCAUGAAAGUUUGCGCUUAGGGAUGAGCCUGCGGCCCANCAGCUAGUUGGUAGGGUAAUGGCCUACCAAGGCUAAGACGGGUAGCUGGUCUGAGAGGAUGAACAGCCACACUGGAACUGAGACACGGUCCAGACUCCUACGGGAGGCAGCAGUGGGGAAUCUUGCGCAAUGGGCGAAAGCCUGACGCAGCGACGCCGCGUGAGCGAUGAAGGCC
This 401-nucleotide ribosomal RNA is filed under the name uncultured bacterium. Its description in RNAcentral is "bacterial SSU rRNA". It matches the Rfam family "Bacterial small subunit ribosomal RNA", at positions 29 to 416 of the family's 1533-position model. The record is from RNAcentral.